GAUGAACGCUAGCGGCAGGCUUAACACAUGCAAGUCGAGGGGUAUAGCACUUCGGUGCUAGAGACCGGCGCACGGGUGCGUAACGCGUAUGCAAUCUGCCUUUCACAGAGGGAUAGCCCAGAGAAAUUUGGAUUAAUACCUCAUAGUAUUAUGACUCGGCAUCGAGAUAUAAUUAAAGUCACAACGGUGAAAGAUGAGCAUGCGUCCC
Molecule: ribosomal RNA, 208 nt
Filed under: uncultured bacterium
Lineage: Bacteria
Description: partial 16S ribosomal RNA
Rfam family: Bacterial small subunit ribosomal RNA
Source: RNAcentral